RNAcentral lists this small RNA (29 nucleotides) under Bombyx mori (domestic silkworm). RNAcentral's name for it is "ovarian small RNA-20342". Lineage: Eukaryota; Metazoa; Arthropoda; Insecta; Lepidoptera; Bombycidae. The record is from RNAcentral.
UACAGUUUGUAGAUCAAACCGUUGUGCCA